This 602-nucleotide ribosomal RNA is filed under the name Salmonella enterica subsp. enterica serovar Cerro. RNAcentral describes it as "partial 23S ribosomal RNA". It matches the Rfam family "Bacterial large subunit ribosomal RNA", at positions 711 to 1310 of the family's 2925-position model. The record is from RNAcentral. Lineage: Bacteria; Pseudomonadati; Pseudomonadota; Gammaproteobacteria; Enterobacterales; Enterobacteriaceae.
AGACCCGAAACCCGGUGAUCUAGCCAUGGGCAGGUUGAAGGUUGGGUAACACUAACUGGAGGACCGAACCGACUAAUGUUGAAAAAUUAGCGGAUGACCUGUGGCUGGGGGUGAAAGGCCAAUCAAACCGGGAGAUAGCUGGUUCUCCCCGAAAGCUAUUUAGGUAGCGCCUCGUGAAUUCAUCUCCGGGGGUAGAGCACUGUUUCGGCUAGGGGGCCAUCCCGGCUUACCAACCCGAUGCAAACUGCGAAUACCGGAGAAUGUUAUCACGGGAGACACACGGCGGGUGCUAACGUCCGUCGUGAAGAGGGAAACAACCCAGACCGCCAGCUAAGGUCCCAAAGUCAUGGUUAAGUGGGAAACGAUGUGGGAAGGCCCAGACAGCCAGGAUGUUGGCUUAGAAGCAGCCAUCAUUUAAAGAAAGCGUAAUAGCUCACUGGUCGAGUCGGCCUGCGCGGAAGAUGUAACGGGGCUAAACCAUGCACCGAAGCUGCGGCAGCGACACUGUGUGUUGUUGGGUAGGGGAGCGUUCUGUAAGCCUGCGAAGGUGGCCUGUGAGGGUUGCUGGAGGUAUCAGAAGUGCGAAUGCUGACAUAAGUAAC